Molecule: non-coding RNA, 73 nt
Organism: Apaloderma vittatum (bar-tailed trogon)
Lineage: Eukaryota; Metazoa; Chordata; Aves; Trogoniformes; Trogonidae
Source: Rfam
GGCCAGUUAGCUCAGUCAGUUAGAGCGUGGUGCUGAUAACACCAAGGUCAUGAGUUCAAUCCCCGUUUGGUCC